UGCACUCACUACUGUAAGUCGCUCUGGAUAAGAGCGUCUGCUAAAUGACUCAAA
Salmo salar (Atlantic salmon) is the source of this 54-nucleotide non-coding RNA. The record is from Rfam. Lineage: Eukaryota; Metazoa; Chordata; Actinopteri; Salmoniformes; Salmonidae.